This 560-nucleotide ribosomal RNA is filed under the name uncultured bacterium. RNAcentral's name for it is "bacterial SSU rRNA". It matches the Rfam family "Bacterial small subunit ribosomal RNA", at positions 337 to 916 of the family's 1533-position model. The record is from RNAcentral.
UCCUACGGGAGGCAGCAGUGGGGAAUAUUGCACAAUGGGCGAAAGCCUGAUGCAGCAACGCCGCGUGAGCGAUGAAGGCCUUCGGGUCGUAAAGCUCUGUCCUCAAGGAAGAUAAUGACGGUACUUGAGGAGGAAGCCCCGGCUAACUACGUGCCAGCAGCCGCGGUAAUACGUAGGGGGCUAGCGUUAUCCGGAUUUACUGGGCGUAAAGGGUGCGUAGGCGGUCUUUUAAGUCAGGAGUGAAAGGCUACGGCUCAACCGUAGUAAGCUCUUGAAACUGGGGGACUUGAGUGCAGGAGAGGAGAGUGGAAUUCCUAGUGUAGCGGUGAAAUGCGUAGAUAUUAGGAGGAACACCAGUAGCGAAGGCGGCUCUCUGGACUGUAACUGACGCUGAGGCACGAAAGCGUGGGGAGCAAACAGGAUUAGAUACCCUGGUAGUCCACGCCGUAAACGAUGAGUACUAGCUGUCGGAGGUUACCCCCUUCGGUGGCGCAGCUAACGCAUUAAGUACUCCGCCUGGGGAGUACGCUCGCAAGAGUGAAACUCAAAGGAAUUGACGG